UACGGAAGGCAGCAGUGGGGAAUAUUGCACAAUGGGCGCAAGCCUGAUGCAGCCAUGCCGCGUGUAUGAAGAAGGCCUUCGGGUUGUAAAGUACUUUCAGUCGUGAGGAAGGUGUUAAGGUUAAUAACCUUAGCAAUUGACGUUAGCGACAGAAGAAGCACCGGCUAACUCCGUGCCAGCAGCCGCGGUAAUACGGAGGGUGCGAGCGUUAAUCGGAAUUACUGGGCGUAAAGGGCACGCAGGCGGUUAAUUAAGUUGGAUGUGAAAUCCUCGGGCUUAACCUGGGAAUGGCAUUCAAGACUGGUUAGCUAGAGUCUUGUAGAGGGGGUAGAAUUCCAUGUGUAGCGGUGAAAUGCGUAGAGAUGUGGAGGAAUACCGGUGGCGAAGGCGGCCCCUGGGACAAGACUGACGCUCAUGUGCGAAAGCGUGGGGAGCAACAGGAUUAGAUACC
RNAcentral lists this ribosomal RNA (451 nucleotides) under uncultured bacterium. Its description in RNAcentral is "bacterial SSU rRNA". It matches the Rfam family "Bacterial small subunit ribosomal RNA", at positions 340 to 786 of the family's 1533-position model. The record is from RNAcentral.